This 72-nucleotide transfer RNA is filed under the name Bigelowiella natans. RNAcentral describes it as "tRNA-Met". It matches the Rfam family "tRNA". From Rfam's summary of the family: Transfer RNA (tRNA) molecules are approximately 80 nucleotides in length. Their secondary structure includes four short double-helical elements and three loops (D, anti-codon, and T loops). Lineage: Eukaryota; Cercozoa; Chlorarachniophyceae. The record is from RNAcentral.
UCGAUUGUAGCUCAAUGGUGGAGCGCUCCGCUCAUAACGGAGAGGUCGCGAGUUCGACUCUCGCCGAUCGAA